RNAcentral lists this ribosomal RNA (660 nucleotides) under uncultured bacterium. Its description in RNAcentral is "bacterial SSU rRNA". It matches the Rfam family "Bacterial small subunit ribosomal RNA", at positions 50 to 697 of the family's 1533-position model. The record is from RNAcentral.
AACACAUGCAAGUCGAGGGGAAACGACAUCGAAAGCUUGCUUUUGAUGGGCGUCGACCGGCGCACGGGUGAGUAACGCGUAUCCAACCUGCCCAUCACUUGGGGAUAACCUUGCGAAAGUAAGACUAAUACCCAAUGAUAUCUCUAGAAGACAUCUGAAAGGGAUUAAAGAUUUAUCGGUGAUGGAUGGGGAUGCGUCUGAUUAGCUUGUUGGCGGGGUAACGGCCCACCAAGGCUACGAUCAGUAGGGGUCCUGAGAGGAAGGUCCCCCACAUUGGAACUGAGACACGGUCCAAACUCCUACGGGAGGCAGCAGUGAGGAAUAUUGGUCAAUGGACGAGAGUCUGAACCAGCCAAGUAGCGUGCAGGAUGACGGCCCUAUGGGUUGUAAACUGCUUUUAUAAGGGAAUAAAGUGAGUCUCGUGAGACUUUUUGCAUGUACCUCAUGAAUAAGGACCGGCUAAUUCCGUGCCAGCAGCCGCGGUAAUACGGAAGGUCCGGGCGUUAUCCGGAUUUAUUGGGUUUAAAGGGAGCGUAGGCCGGAGAUUAAGCGUGUUGUGAAAUGUAGAUGCUCAACAUCUGCACUGCAGCGCGAACUGGUUUCCUUGAGUACGCACAAAGUGGGCGGAAUUCGUGGUGUAGCGGUGAAAUGCUUANAUAU